AUAUAAUCAUUCUCAGGAGCAGCUAUAUAUUUUCAUUUAUGAAGACUUAAUUUAUACUCACUUAAAUAGCCAGGUAUAUUAUGCAAUAUACCAGUAUAAAAUAUUAUUUGGAAAAUAUUUGAGGUUUUUAGUGUCCUUUUUAAAACACCUGCCGCCCAUGCCAGAGACACCGGUUUGAAUCCCGCUUUGAGCGGAUCGAGUAGAACCGGAGGGGUUACAUUGGUGCCGUGACCCAGAUGGGAAUUUAGGGGGGCACCAUCUCUGCAGUGGCAAAAGUAGCAGAAAACAGACUCAGGACAUCCACGCGGUGCCCGCGGUCUAGGAGUGUGUGUCCGUGAAAAUAAGCAGAGUGAACGUCGAUCUCGUUGCCCAUGCCAAAGAGAUGCAAAGCAACUGUGUUGUUUUGGCAAAACUCAAUGCCUGGAUCCACACCAUCUGGAUCAGAGCAGAAGGUCUGGACGUUCUCUUUCAGGUACCAGCUGAUGUUCUCAUCCACCACACUAAACAUAAGGAUUAAAUCCUGUUCUACAUCAGCACGUUGCACUUGAUGGUGGUCUGAAGUGGACACAGCAUGCAGGGUUCCUGAGGCCGGCAUUUGGAUUUGGCAAUCAAAGGAUAAGGUGAGAAGGGCUCCAAUAAGCCCGGAGGAAAUGUCUUGUGAGGCGCUGACAUGGGAGUGGUAGGCCCAGGUCAGGCAGUUGGCAUCACCCUUUUGAGGAGCAUAAUCUGGCUUUACAGUCCAGGUAUAUGUG
Molecule: long non-coding RNA, 752 nt
Organism: Rhinichthys klamathensis goyatoka
Lineage: Eukaryota; Metazoa; Chordata; Actinopteri; Cypriniformes; Leuciscidae
Exons: 4
Source: RefSeq, a predicted model, not a curated record